Rhodamnia argentea is the source of this 1460-nucleotide RNA transcript. It is a transcript of the gene named 5'-nucleotidase SurE-like, with no coding region annotated. The record is from RefSeq and is a predicted model, not a curated record. Lineage: Eukaryota; Viridiplantae; Streptophyta; Magnoliopsida; Myrtales; Myrtaceae. The transcript has 10 exons.
GCCCCCCAACCACCGCUGACCAAUAGCAGAGCAAUCAGAGUCCGACUCCGUCACGUACUCUGCUUUACUCAUUCGAACGCAGAGCAAGAGGGCGACGGCGGAGAAAAUGGACGUCCCCGGCGUGAUAUCCGUCGACCGGCCGACCGUCAUGAUCACCAACGACGACGGCAUCGACGCCCCCGGCAUGCAAUCCCUCGUCCGCGUCCUCGUCUCCUCCGGUCGCUACAACGUCCAAGUCUGCGCUCCCGACUCGGAAAAAUCAGCUGUUAGCCAUUGUAUCACGUUGCGUCAACCUCUUGUGGCUAGGCGAGUGCACAUUGAAGGAGCAAUUGCAUUUGCGGUGUCAGGGACACCAGCAGAUUGUACGUCAUUGGGAAUCUCUAAGUCACUUUUCCCCUCGGUUGCUGAUCUGGUAAUCAGUGGUAUUAACAUGGGUAACAACUGUGGAUAUCACAUUAUUUAUUCUGGCACAGUUGCUGGUGCUCGUGAGGCCUUCUUUAUUGGCGUGCCAUCUAUUUCUAUAUCGUAUGAUUGGGUUGGAGGUAUAAGCAGCGUGCAAGACUUCACACUUGCUGCUGAGGCUUGCUUACCUAUUAUUGGUUCGAUUUUGUCUGAGAUAAAGAAGAGCAGUUAUCCCAGAAAAUGCUUCUUGAAUAUAGAUCUGCCGACAGAUGUUGCAAAUCAUAAGGGCUAUAAGCUCACUAAGCAGGGUAGAAGCAUAAUCCAGAUGGCAUGGAGACCAGUGAACUCAGACAUGCAUGGAGGGAAGAUGUUAUCAACAAUGACAAUGGAUACGGAUUCAGUGAUGUUGACAGAAGCAGAUGGAUCAACUAUGUCUCAGGAACAUCUUCUAUUUAAGAGAGAAGUAAGAGGAGCCCAAGUUGAUGAUGAUGCUACAGAUCAUCGAUCUCUGAAGGAAGGAUUUAUCACUGUUACGCCUCUUGGUGCUCUUUCCCCAGCGAAUGUGGAAUGUGAGAGUUUUUUUAAGGAUUGGCUGCCAAAUGUGGCCUAACGCCCUUCACUGACUUCUUAAUGCUGUUAGAUUGCCUUUUGUGACUAAUACAUAUGAGUUGAGGAUUGCUUCUCUAUGUGGAGAGUAUAUGCUUCACACUCAAGUUAUUGUCAAGGUUAUUCAUUUUUUAAGCCAUGUCUUGUGCCAUCUCUUUGCCUGGGGAUCUUAAGCUUAGGAAAAAGUUGCCAAUGUCAAGUAAGAAUUGUACGAGCUUUCAAUUUCCCCAAUUAAUACAAAUGGGGCUAUGCUCACAUUUGACUAUUGAAAUAAUAGCAUCUUCCCAAUGCAAUUUAUGCGGAGGAUUGAUCUUAAUGUUGCCCUGUCAAAAUUCAUUACCCUGUUCUCUGUAGUUAAGGUUCACUUAUAGUAACAUUAGGAGGCCUGCGCUAUCAUGAACUCAUUUUUCCUUCUGAUCUGUAUUAGCCCAAUCAGAUCUUCCUCCUCAUUC